This is a long non-coding RNA of Bos taurus (domestic cattle), 2615 nucleotides long. The record is from Ensembl. NCBI's taxonomy places the organism in Eukaryota, Metazoa, Chordata, Mammalia, Artiodactyla, Bovidae.
GGAGCAUGUGCAUGAGGGCAAGAAAGAAACAGAGACAGAUACAGGGGAAGAACUGGGAGGCAGCAAAACAGAGAGAAAUUGAAGCUCAAGUUGCUAGUACUCCUGGGGAAGGAACAAUGACAACAUCAGAUUAUCUUAAAACCAGAAGGAAAUGAGGGAAGAAACACAGUGAUCCGGAGCUGAAGCGCAGCCACGAGGAGCCAGAAAACGGAGGAGGGUGACUGUUCUGCUGAAGAGUGUACCUUCUAAUUCAGAAAACUUAGUCACCAGACUGAGAACAGAUAACAAGAGUAGGAGGAAGGACUGGGGAGUGUGGGGAAACGUUUCACAAAGCUCUGAAAUCCGCAGCAUGCAGAGCAAGCUCUUGACAAACUCGCAGCUUUCUGGAACCUUCGGAAAAUGAAAAUCCAACUCAUAGGAUAAAGCAAAUAGCCCCACUGGUUAUUUCACAGCACAUAUCUAACUAACACCCAUCAAAGCUCUGAACAGUGGAGAUGGUUCUAAAAGCAUCAUCUACCCCUAGGCAAGAUUAUAUUCAGUCCUCGAAUAAUCUAUAAAAUGUGGCUCCAUUUUGAAAAUCACCAUUUUGUGCCUAAAUGGCAUAAUGGAUAAAAAAUUGGCUCCACUAUUUCACUCAAUCUAAGGUCCCCACUCCAGUACUCUUGCCUGAAAAAUCCCAUGGAUGGUGGAGCCUGGUAGGCUGCAGUCCAUGGGGUCACUAAGAGUUGGACACGAUUGAGCGACUUCACUUUCAACUUUCACUUUCAUGCAUUGGAGAAGGAAAUGGCAACUCACUCCAGUGUUCUUGCCUGGAGAAUCCCAGGGACGGGGGAGCCUGGUGGGCUGCCGUCUAUGGGGUCGCACAGAGUUGGACAAGACUGAAGCAACUUAGCAGCAGCAGCAAAGUCCCUUAGGAGCUUCCUAGAUGUCUCAGUGGUAAAGAAUCCGCCUGCCAAUGCAGGAGAUGCAGGUUGGAUCCCCUGGAGAAGGAAAUGGCAACCCAUUCCAGUAUUCUUGCCAGGAAAAUCUAUAGGACAGAGGAGCCUGGUGGGCUACAGUCCAUGGGUUUGCAAAAGAGCUGGACACAACUUGGAUGAAACAACAACAAGGUCUCUUGGAACUCUAAGCACAAGUUUAAGAAAAAUUACCACUUUAAAAAUGGCUCUACAGGGGACGAGCAAACACAGAAACUGAUGUGGAUGCUCAUGUCACCUGUCAGCACUGGGUUAUAAGCACUCAGAUGAGUCAGUUCUUAUUUUAACUUUAUACUUUUUCAUCGGAAUGAAAACAAUUUUAAAAAUGUUUAUCAAGAAAUGAAUAGGCCCCAGAGAAGAACCCUUCCAGAUCUGUGGACCACAGUUUUAGGUAGGGGAAGCCAUGUUUGAGGCUGAGAGGCAAUGUGAUUUGACCAUUUUGUUACAGGGAAGAGCAAAAUUUGACUACAUAUUGGAUCCUAUUUUUUUUUCCCAUUUAAACUUUGCUUCUUAUUGCUUUUGUUCACUAAGAGGAUACGGUCCAUACAUAAUGGCCUGCCUCGGGGAACCCUGCCCCUCUGCCUGAAUGCUAAACCAAAAUGCCUUUAGUCAGGGAGAUGUCCUGACCCUGUCCACCUGUGAAAGGCUGCAAGAAAGAAAUUACCAUAUCAGCUUCCUGAAGCUAACCAUCCCGGUAGAUAUUUGCAAGACGUACGAACUUCCUCACCUCCUCCCCAUCUCUAUUCUAUAAAAGAAUCUAGAAUUAUAUAAAAGAAUCUAUCCAGACCCCAACAAGAUGGUUAUUUUGAAACAUUUUCUGCCAUCUUCUCCGUCUGCUGGUUUUCUGAAUAAAAAACACCUGGUCUCCUGACUUACUGGCCUGUCCUGCAGUGAGCAGAGUAAGCUCUGACUUGGUAACAGUUCCUUCCUUGCUCUGUGGAGUGUAAAUGGAUGGGUGAGAUAGGAAACCACAUCUUUAGUAGCAACUGAAAUAGCUGAGCAGAAGGUUUCAAGGAUCCCAACCAAGACUCUGUUCUUGGAGACAAGCUUCUGCACACAACUGAUUCAACAAAACUCUCUAGAAGGAACACUUAGUCCCAUGUCAAGUAGGAUUUGCCAUUAGAAGCCUUGGACACUCUUCUGAAUUCUGCUAACUGGAAACUGGAAGCUAUGGAGUAAGCAGCUUGGCUUUCAGAAGACAUGGCCAUUUAUGGCUGUCACCGCCUAACAGGGCCACCUGCACAGCCACCCUGAUUGCCCACACACAUUUGAGUCUGUUCAAAGACACAGAAGGAAUUUUCAUACAAAAGAAUCUUCUGGCCUUAGCAGUAAUUGAGUCAGACUGUGAUGGAAGAUCGACACAUUUAUAUUAUCGUCACACAGAGGUUUGAUUUUUCUACUGGCACAAAGUAUUCUGAAAAAGAAUGGAAAAUUACCCCUGUUUACUUCAAAGAGCAAGGCUGACUUCCUCGAAAUCUGUAGCCCUUCGGUGUUGCUCAGGGCAACUGAUUUAAUUCAAAGACAGCCUGUCUGUGAUUGACAGCUUAAGAAAAGUCAGGUUUAUUUGUGAGAGAUUUGUGAUCAGAUUAUAGUAGGGAUGUAGAAAGAUAUCAAGCAGUUAGGAAAACAAGAGCAGAUUUU